RNAcentral lists this ribosomal RNA (691 nucleotides) under Bacillus subtilis. Its description in RNAcentral is "bacterial SSU rRNA". It matches the Rfam family "Bacterial small subunit ribosomal RNA", at positions 74 to 749 of the family's 1533-position model. The record is from RNAcentral. Lineage: Bacteria; Bacillati; Bacillota; Bacilli; Caryophanales; Bacillaceae.
GGGAGCUUGCUCCCUGAUGUUAGCGGCGGACGGGUGAGUAACACGUGGGUAACCUGCCUGUAAGACUGGGAUAACUCCGGGAAACCGGGGCUAAUACCGGAUGGUUGUUUGAACCGCAUGGUUCAAACAUAAAAGGUGGCUUCGGCUACCACUUACAGAUGGACCCGCGGCGCAUUAGCUAGUUGGUGAGGUAACGGCUCACCAAGGCAACGAUGCGUAGCCGACCUGAGAGGGUGAUCGGCCACACUGGGACUGAGACACGGCCCAGACUCCUACGGGAGGCAGCAGUAGGGAAUCUUCCGCAAUGGACGAAAGUCUGACGGAGCAACGCCGCGUGAGUGAUGAAGGUUUUCGGAUCGUAAAGCUCUGUUGUUAGGGAAGAACAAGUACCGUUCGAAUAGGGCGGUACCUUGACGGUACCUAACCAGAAAGCCACGGCUAACUACGUGCCAGCAGCCGCGGUAAUACGUAGGUGGCAAGCGUUGUCCGGAAUUAUUGGGCGUAAAGGGCUCGCAGGCGGUUUCUUAAGUCUGAUGUGAAAGCCCCCGGCUCAACCGGGGAGGGUCAUUGGAAACUGGGGAACUUGAGUGCAGAAGAGGAGAGUGGAAUUCCACGUGUAGCGGUGAAAUGCGUAGAGAUGUGGAGGAACACCAGUGGCGAAGGCGACUCUCUGGUCUGUAACUGACGCUGA